UCCGUAGGUGAACCUGCGGAAGGAUCAUUACAAGUGAGGCUACCGAACGUUGGAAACAGCGGUUAGGAGCUUACACCCACCCGUGUUUACAUACUAUUGUUGCUUUGGCGGGCCGUGGCCUCCACUGCGGGCUCUGCUCGUGUGUGCCCGCCAGAGAACCAAACUCUGAAUGUUAGUGAUGUCUGAGUACUAUCUAAUAGUUAAAACUUUCAACAACGGAUCUCUUGGUUCUGGCAUCGAUGAAGAACGCAGCGAAAUGCGAUAAGUAAUGUGAAUUGCAGAAUUCAGUGAAUCAUCGAAUCUUUGAACGCACAUUGCGCCCUGUGGUAUUCCGCAGGGCAUGCCUGUUCGAGCGUCAUUUAACCACUCACGCCUAGCGUGGUAUUGGGGCACGCGGUCUCCGCGGCCCUCAAAAUUAGUGGCGGCGCCGGUGGGCUCUAAGCGUAGUACAUACUCCCGCUAUAGAGUUCCCCCGGUGGCUCGCCAGAACCCCCAAUUUUUUACAGGUUGACCUCGGAUCAGGUAGGGAUACCCGCUGAACUUAAGCAUAUCAAUAAGCGGAGGA
Molecule: ribosomal RNA, 565 nt
Filed under: uncultured Phialocephala
Lineage: Eukaryota; Fungi; Ascomycota; Leotiomycetes; Helotiales
Description: eukaryotic LSU rRNA
Rfam family: 5.8S ribosomal RNA (bases 205-358)
Source: RNAcentral